CUUCAAAAGAAACCUGUGGACAGGUGAAUAGCAAAAAUUGCAUUUCUAUGUUUGUUUGUUUGUUUCAUAAAAUUCAUAUACCACUUGAUUGUAGGAAAAACCUUAAAGCGGUUAACAAAAAGAUAAAGAAAUAAAAUUAUCACUAAUAGAUUUACAACCACAAUUUAAAACAUACAGAAAGUUAAAACCACAAUAGAAUAGCAAAUUAAAACUCAUACAAACUUUCUAAACCUCUGGGAAGGCUUGUCUACAUAAGAAUGUCUUCAGCAGGUGCUGAAUUCUGACUCAAGCGCAGAGGUGUAGGCCCAUCACCAAAGAGGAAGCAAUCACAUUGUUGGUACAUGAAUUGAUGUCCACUUGUCUUGAUCAGCUGUACAUUAUUCUUAUCACUAUGCCAACAUAUUGUUAUCCUUACGCACAACCUUUCACAAUGUUAUAUAUAUAUAUGAAUGAAGAAGAGUUUGGAUUUGAUAUCCCGCUUUAUCACUACCCUAAGGAGUCUCAAAGCGGCUAACAAUCUCCUUUCCCUUCCUCCCCCACAACAAACACUCUGUGAGGUGAGUGAGGCUGAGAGACUUCAGAGAAGUGUGACUAGCCCAAGGUCACCCAGCAGCUGCAUGUGGAGGAGCGGAGACACGAACCCUGUUCACCAGAUUACGAGUCCAUCCCUCUUAACCACUACACCACACUGGCUCUCUAUAAUGACAGUUUAAGUCCCAUCAGUAUUGUGGAAGAUCCAGCUCUUUAGGACAUAUUAGUAUUGAUUUCAACUGGUCCAUGUCAGACCCCAUUGCCUCUGAGUCCUACAGCUUGAGUGAAAGUUGUAUGGAAGGCAGACGUUCUCCAAGCUGAGCUUUGGUUUCAGACUGAAAGUAAAAUAGAUCCCUAAGAUUAUGGGUGGCAAGCCACUGUAUAUUUGCACUAGCAUAAGGUCUAGCAUUGGCGCAAGGGGUUUUUAUCUCUCCUCACUCCCCAAGCACACCCUGUGCCAUCCCCGAACCUGCCCUGAAGGGUUAGGGGGAAACCCCAGAACAGAUUUAGAGAAUGCAGAGGGGGAACAAAGGAAGAGAUUAUUUUGUUGCACAAGGAGAAAUCAUUGCACAGACUGAUUUUCCUAACACUCUACUGAAUACAAGCCUUAGGGGGGAGGAAUCAAAUAUGCUACUUGGAAGAUGAGCUAGUGUGUUGGCGCUGUUUGCAUGGUAGCAUGUUCUUCAAGUUUCAGUUCCACCAAUCAGCAUUUGCCCUGGCUGAUUAAUAUGAUAUAAAGCAAGAGUCAGCCACCCCAAGAGUUACUUAUAUCUAGUCCAAGGGCUGGCAGCCUCCUUCUUCUUAGUCUCAGGGUUGCCAUUGUAGAUCUCAGUAGGGAGGAAGACGGCAGCAAAACCAGAAGGAGUUGGCUCUGCUGUGACUCUGCCAGCUGUUAACCUCUGUGCUUCCUGCCCCCCCCCCCCUCCCUCCAGUGCUCUCAGCCUUGAUUUUAAAACAAGAAUAGAAAAAACCAGUCUGGUUAUUGAAAGAGCCCAGUUUCUUACCUUUUGCAUUUUAAGUUGGUAGCAGAAGACAUUUUUUGGACAAGGCAAGAGAGGUCAUCCAUCACAAGCUGACUGGGAUGCCAAACCCAAAAAUAGUCAGGGUUCUUCCUCCCUCCCCUUUGAGGUGUUAAUGUAAGUGACUCCGUAGGAUUGCAGCCUGUCAUCCAGCUUGGCUUGUGCCAACGCCCAGCUUGGGAUUGUUUCUUGUUGGAUCGGGUCUCACUGUGUGUCCAGGCAUGAACAGGUCCAGUACCAUAUCAGGUGACUGGCUGUGGGCACAUCCUCCAUGCAGCAAAUAAUUUCAAAUGGAAAGAGACAGAAGACGGUGAAGAGCCAGGGCAAUAGAAAGGCUAAGGACACAGACUAUAAACAACCAGGACAGAACAAUUGCACACCAGGCUGCCCCCACCCCCAAGGCAGCAUAUUGCUGGAUUGUUGCAUAUAGGUAAAUAACCUAAGAAGUGGAGGCUGUCAGCCAAUCAGCCUACUGGUCUAUUGUGCCUUAGGGUUCAGAUCCAUGAGGAGCAGUGACUGCUUCCAAACAGUUCUGCAAGCCCAGUUUGAGGUCCAGUGCUCUUGACAGGUGAAUCCUUUUCAAACCACCCCCACCCACUUUUCUUUUCUCCCCCCCCCCCCCGGAUGUAAUGCAGGUAAUAUAGAUGCACUCCUUUAAGGCAUAGUGAAGAUUCAGCAAUAACAAGAGUAUUGCAUUAUAAAAUAGAUGAAAAGGGGUUUGUGUUCGGUUACAAUGCAAACAGUUGUACAUCUGUAUGAAAUUCCUUUGUGUCAGGUGUCGGGUUAUCUAGUUAAAAAGCCAUCCCUCUCGCCAUCAUGCCAGCUUUUCACAUGAGCUUUAAAGAGCAAUUUCUACCAUGCAAAUUAAUCAUACUUAAAUUAAAAUAAAGUGUGAACACAUACAGGUAAAUGUGCAAAUUUGCUAUUUUCACCCAUCUCUUCGAGGGCUCUUCCAUUUGGCUCAGGUGUGUGUGUGGGUGGGUGUGUGUCAUGUAUAUAUCUGUCAGAUGAGCUGAAUCGGGCUUGCUCUUUACUGCCAAGAAAGAAUUAAGUACAAAAUCUUCUGUAGGAAGCAAUUGUGAAGUGUGGAAGUUUCUAGUCAGGCAAAUAAAUUGGAUUUAAGUAUAUUACAGUCAUAAUCUUUUUCUGCCUCUCUCCAGACAGCCUUUGUACAUGGAGAAAUGAGAAUGUAUUCGCAGACAAAUCUUGACCUGAGGGAGAAGGCUGAGGGAAUCUGGAUUUUCAAUAACAUAAGACAAUAAAGCUCAGACUUCUAACCUGCUGCAAUAUGGUAAAAGUAUAAAGAGCUUAGCAACUAAUAAAAGGAAAGGGUCUUCCAACUCAUAUUUGAAGAUCUAGACCCCAAAAGGACACUCCAUAAAGAUCAUAAUGGGUUAGUCAGUAUCUAACAGAUACGAUGUACCUUGUUGACCAAUUGUCUGACAGUUGUCUUUUGUAGGGUCUGGAUAUUAAUAAGUCUCGGGUUGAUUUCCUUUGGGUAUUAGGCCUCAUAAUUGUACAUCUACUUGUUGUGACACUGCAGCUUGCUAUAUAUUUAUUUAAUGUGAUUCCUGUAGGGAUUCAAAAAGAAGAAGAAGGAAGGAAGACAGAAAUGGAGGAAUGCUGUUGCAUUUCUGUGAUCAUAUGCACACAUUGCAAAUUUUAUCUCCCUCUGAGGUAUUGUGAAUCAAAGUGAUUAUAGUGUAAGGGAGAGGACAUGAUCUUGGGGGCAAAGAGGAAAUCCAGAUGUUUUCCCCUAAGGUCAGAAACCAUCUUCCUCCCUUUCUGUUACAU
Molecule: long non-coding RNA, 3344 nt
Filed under: Podarcis lilfordi (Lilford's wall lizard)
Lineage: Eukaryota; Metazoa; Chordata; Lepidosauria; Squamata; Lacertidae
Source: RNAcentral